This is a non-coding RNA of Drosophila takahashii, 498 nucleotides long. The record is from RefSeq and is a predicted model, not a curated record. Lineage: Eukaryota; Metazoa; Arthropoda; Insecta; Diptera; Drosophilidae.
UAUUAAAGGACUUGGGAGGCGAUUCUUUCUCUGUUUUCUGGAAAAUGCAGCUGAAACUUUAAAAAAAUUGACUGGAAGCAGCUACGACGAGAAAUUCCUGUUCAACUAGUCGGUCCAGAAGCGGAAGUUUUGGAAGUGUGGCAGAACAAAAUUGAGAACGUUUUUCAGAUCCAGCUCUCGCAAACCACUUUUCGGACUUAUUAAAAGGAGUAAGGAAGCAACAGGAAAUAAACCUGCUUAAAUCUUUGGAAAGCCACUCUGAAGAGAUACAAUCAACUCUAAUUUGGCUUGCAAUUCAUUGAGUGUUGGUGCCGACAGCAAGAACAAAAAAGGACGCCGGGAGCAAGAACGCGAAGCACACCAUUGCGGACUCGGGAAGCCGUUUCUUUUAAACUUAUUUAUUAUUUAUUAUUUUUAAACCCGAUAUAAUCAAUUUAGCAAUAAGAAAGGGAGAAUAUGUAAAUUUGUAUAACUAUAAAUUGUGUAAAUAUAUUUGUA